RNAcentral lists this unclassified non-coding RNA (401 nucleotides) under fungal sp. RNAcentral describes it as "partial internal transcribed spacer region". The stretch from base 1 to 46 matches the Rfam family "Eukaryotic small subunit ribosomal RNA", at positions 1786 to 1831 of the family's 1831-position model. Lineage: Eukaryota; Fungi. The record is from RNAcentral.
AAGUCGUAACAAGGUUUCCGUAGGUGAACCUGCGGAAGGAUCAUUAACACGUGAUACUCACGUAUUAACCAAACGCGAAAUGUUGUUAAGCCUGUUAUUGGAUAUGAGCUGACUGUUUGGGAAUGGUGUGACUACGGUGCUUCGCGCAUAGGGUCUAACUAACGGUCUUAGCGUACUCGAUACGCGGUUCAUUCCAGUAAUAGUAGAUGAAUUUCGGCUGCUUAUUAAGCCUGCACCUUGGCUUGCAGUCGAAGUGACCUUAUUACCUACCCCUUAUUUAUACUUAUUCUGAUUUGUACGUUUAUUUGAAUUCCUGACGGCUUCGGCUGAAGGUUGAGUUCAUUUAGAUGUCGUAUAUUACUAAUACGAAACAACUCUUAGCAACGGAUAUCUUGGUUCUC